Long non-coding RNA from Oxyura jamaicensis (ruddy duck), 744 nucleotides. RefSeq lists it as uncharacterized. The record is from RefSeq and is a predicted model, not a curated record. The transcript has 3 exons. NCBI's taxonomy places the organism in Eukaryota, Metazoa, Chordata, Aves, Anseriformes, Anatidae.
CAUGAGCAGUGCUGGAAUGAAAUUCUACCUAUAUAUACACAAGAUAUGAUAAGGUUUCUCACAAGCAAGAGCCACAAAGCAGGUUCAAAAAGGAGCCUGGCUAGAGAAAACCAUGCUGCACGUGGAUUGACUACACUCGCUUGGCUGCUUACCUGGCAUCUGCAGAGAACACAGCUAGAUCCCAAGAGAUCAGCUGGCUCACUGGAAACCAAGAAGAAAAAGGGGAAAGAGAACAUGCAGAAGACUUGAAAACUCUGGUAUUCACUUAUAAUUUUGUUAUUAUCAAAGGAUGCUUAAAAAGGAGCAUCUGUGGGAUGUACAAUUUGAAAGAAACUUCAGAGAAAGAGCUUCGAACAACAAACGUAUCUGAACAAUCCAGAGGAAAAUAACAAAGAAAAGGGGAAGACCAUGGAGUGUUCAUCACUGGAGACACAAAACCCCAGGCUUGAUUUUUCUUAAAACAAGUAAACAGAUCUAUCCACGCUCAAAGAAUGGAUUACACAAAUUUGCAUAUAUUUUUUCAAGCCUUAUUUACUAAGAAUAUGAGAAAAUGUGAAUAAAGAAAAUGUGAGGCAUCAAAAAAGAAAGAAUCAAGCUUCAUGGCCCGGUGCAUACAAUAUGUCUGUGAAAGUCCGACUAGAUCAAAGACAAACUUGCUUGCAGCUGGUUUAUAAACAAGGUGCAAAAGCAAUGCUAAACUGCGGAAAUGUGAACAAGUCUUCUGCUUAAAAAAAAAAAAAAAAA